RNAcentral lists this ribosomal RNA (116 nucleotides) under uncultured bacterium. RNAcentral describes it as "partial 16S ribosomal RNA". It matches the Rfam family "Bacterial small subunit ribosomal RNA", at positions 1369 to 1482 of the family's 1533-position model. The record is from RNAcentral.
CGUUCCCGGGCCUUGUACACACCGCCCGUCACACCACGAAAGUUGGCAAUACCCGAAGCCGGUGGCCUAACCCGCAAGGGAGGGAGCCGUCGAAGGUAGGGUCGAUGAUUGGGGUG